UAAUUAACAGCACCCCUUCUAGAAUUAGGUAAAUCGGUUCGGAACCAAAUCAUGGACCCGGGUUGGGCAGUGGCAGAGCCAGGAAUAUAGUAUGAGGAGGGCCAAGUGUAGUAAAUCCUUAUUAAGGAGGGCCAGCUCAUAAGAAUACAUCAUUUUUGCAACCAUUGAUCAUCUAUUAGCAUGCAUAUUAGGCUUAAUACAACAAUGUUAGGAGGGCCAGGGUCCCUGCUGGUCCCCCCCCUGUCUCUGCCACUGGGGUUGGGUAGCUGUAGAACUCCCCGUUUCUAGGAUCCGAGUACCCAUUAUGGCGGCGCCGAAAUGGUGUGAACCAUGAGAGCCCUCAGUGCGACUCGUUCGCCCGAGGCUUCAACGCGUUGUCCAGAAGUGACGCGACCAUCAGCGCUAAUGUUGGGCCGGAGCCAAAACCUGUGUUGAAAUUUGCAAGCAUUUUUUGAAAUUUGAGAACAAUUGGAAAUUUGCAAACAUUUUUUGAAAUUUGAGAUUUUUUUUAAAUUUGGGAAUAAUUUUUAACAUUCAUAAACAUUUCUUGAAUUUGUGAAUACUUUUGGCAUCGACGACCAUUUUUAGAAAUUCGUAAACAUUUUUUUGAACUCAUAAACAUCUACUGAAUUUGUUAACAUUUUACAAAUUUAUAUACAUUUUAAAAUUCAAGAUUAUUUUUCUAAAACCGAGUUCAUAUUUGAAACACAUUGAUGUUUCUGAAAUCUAAAACAUAUCCUGAAAUCAAAUAUUAUUAAAUUUCAGAACAUUUUCUAAGAAUUUAGAACAUUUUUUAAUUCAUGAACAGUUUUUGAAAUUCAAAAGAUCCGGAUACUCUUUAAAGAAGAAACAAAAGCAAUAUUGCCCCGCCCCGCACAUGAACCGGCUCAAAAGCGCGUGCGGGAGAGCGGAGUGUGCGCAUUGGCUUGAUUUCCGCCGCAUGGUUCGAGGAAUCGGAGCUCCCGCCGACACCAGCAAUCUGGUCGUGGCGACAACAGGGCUCAGUUCUGACAACGCGUGGUCGUCUGCGUGUAGAAGCAUGACAAUAUGUCCCAUUCUCGUCCCCAUCGGGUAAACCGAAGCUCGAGCCUCCACUUGCGCCGAGAUGGCCAGCCACCUCGUCCAUGCGUGUAGGGGGAGGCACGUUUCAAAUAUCCAUAAUGAUGGAAGGUGAUGGCUAUCAUCAGGAUUAUUUGGUAGCACAGAUGUGAAUCGUGAAGAAAUACAACUAUAUAAGGCCCACUUGCGCCGAGAUGGCCAGCCACCUCGUCCAUGCGUGUAGGGGGAGGCACGUUUCAAAUAUCCAUAACGAUGGAAGGUGAUGGCUAUCAUCAGGACUAUUUCGUAGCACAGAUGUGAAUCGUGAAGAAAUACAAUUAUAUAAGGCCCACUUGCGCCGAGAUGGCCAGCCACCUCGUCCAUGCGUGUAGGGGGAGGCACGUUUCAAAUAUCCAUAACGAUGGAAGGUGAUGGCUAUCAUCAGGAUUAUUUGGUAGCACAGAUGUGAAUCGUGAAGAAAUACAACUAUAUAAGGCCCUGUUCGGUAAAGGUCCGCUUCCGGAAUCUGCAGAGUGGCUAAAUGGCAACUCCACCAUUUUAGACUACAGCUCCACCAACUCCGUUCCAGGAGUUGUGGAGCGGAGCGUUUCCGAACAGCCCCUAAGUACUGAAUAAAUUAUGCCCAGUUGAAUCCACAAUCGAAAGUUUCAGGAAGAAUGGAAAGUUUCAGAAAGGAAAGGUGACUAUCAUAAGUUUGGAACAUGCCUCCUGCACAAGUAGUGAAUUGAUGACACUGUGUUUAGGGUCAUGUUUAAUCGCCCCAACCUCUCAAGUUGGGCGUUGUCACAGAAAUGAUCUGGUAGGUCCGCAACCAACUCAAGCACUCCAACUUAUAAGGGGAACAAACAAUUACAGACAAUUGAAUAACCCGAAUUGGCCAGGAAAGAACACCGAGAGCUCCAAAAUUUUAUAGUCUCACAAGCCCACAAAAGUGAGGCUCCACAGCAAAUUUGUUUCAUUAACAUCCAAAGCAUCAUAAGCUUGCUUUCUCUCCCCCCCUAACCGACUAAGAAAGCCAGGAAUCUAAUAGAAUGUUCAUCUCUCUAGCAGCGUUUGGCCCGGCUGAGAACACAGACUGGCACGAGCUGCUAGAGUGCAUCGCGCUCCAUGAGCCGGAUCUUGCGAUUGGCGCUGACCGGGCCAGGUGGCGGCUAGAGCCAUCUGGGCAAUUCUCCAUCAAAUCUCUUUACCAGGCCAUCUCUCCCUCUCUAGGGCCUAAGGCCCUCACCACCAUCUAGGAGAUUAGGCUCCCCUUGAAGAUUAGGAUUUUCUUAUGGCAGUGGAUUCGCGGCCGUCUCCCCUCUGGCGUGGAGGUCCUGAAGCGCAAUGGCCCAGGAGAUGGGCGAUGCCCGCUCUGUGGGCCUGAAGAAGAUUCGAACCAUAUCUUCUGCACCUGCAUGUCCGCGCAGUUCCUAUGGAGUUGUUUCCGCGAAAUAAUGGAUGGAAGCUGGGACCACAACAACUUCCCCGCUCUUUUCGCCGAACUCCAGGCGUUAGCUCCCCCAAUUCGCCACAUCAGGUGGCUGGUCAUUGGGGUGCUCACCUGGACGCUGUGGACUGUUAGGAAUAAACUUGUGAUUCAGCGCAUUCCUCUGCGACGUGCUACUGGCGCUUUGUUCAAAUGGUCGGGUUUCUUGCAGCUUUGCGGCCGCCUAGCCGUUCCCGGGAGAGAGACGCCAUCACCUCCAUCAUCACCCAGCUUCGCUCGAUGGCUCUCCAGAUGGCUCCUCCGCUACCCCCUCCAUCGCCGGAGCCGGAUUAGUUCUCCUUCACCUAGCCGCCCCUGUUAUGUAUGUUGUGUGUGUUUUGUGCCGGUGUUGGGCUUGUUGUGCUAUGCCCACAGCUGAACCUGGGUGUCGUGUGAGUGUUUGUUCGUCUGCCCUGCCUGCGGUGGCUUUGUGUGCGUGUAUUUGUGUGGUUGGACCCUUGUUACUUUGUGCUCGGCGGUCGCUUUAUUUAUAAAACGGGGCGAAAGUCUUUUUCGAUAAUAUCGUAGAAAUGAAGGUGUAACCAGAAGGGGGGCGGCCACUCUUGUAUAGACUACUAGAUGAUAUCAUAGCACUGCACCAGUGAUGCGCUAUGUGAUCUCUUGCAAUACAUUAUAGCACCUGUGCUCAAACAUGAUGAUAUGCUUACAUCACAACUCUGCAAAUGGGUAUUAGAGUAUGCACAGCACUGAGACUAGGUCUAGGAGCGUCGCAUAAGGGUGUAACGGGACAUUCACCAUAACACAGGCACUAUAGGCUGCUGUUCUUGAAAGGAAAACAGGCACUAUAAGCUGCUGUUCUUGAAAGGAAAACAGGCGCUAUAGGCUACAAAACAGUGCAACCCGGCUGCUCAAGCACUCCAGUUGACAGGAGGGCUCCGAGAUUCAACUUCCCGGGCGGACGUAAAAGCAUGCCCUGCAGUUUCAGCUGCCCCGACCAUAGCAGCAAAGCGUUGCUUGCCACAUGGAAGUGCUGUGAGCAAGGCAACACGAAAGCUCCAUAUUCCCAAUGCCUCACAAUCUCACGAUAGCAAAUGCAGGCCUUUGCCAAACGAAAACCGUGCUUCAUUUUCCUGUCAUCGGUCGUCUCUUCAGGCUGCUCUUUUAUAGACCAAAAGAUAUCGACCAUGUGAAACCUGCAAGUUCAUCAGAGUACGCAUACCUACCAGCCUUUGAUUUUGAGCAUCUUAUGAUAAAAUGCAGAAGAAAAUUAGGCCAGUUUACUUGCAAAGAUUUCAUAAACCAAUGCACGCACUGAAGGUUCAUCAACACAUCGCUGCCUCAGUAACCGAUAAUUGAGGUACUAUCAUCCUUUUGCGUUCAUUUUUCCCCAGAGACAGCAUUACACCCGGACAAUAAAACUCUACGUCAACCAUGUAACCAACUCCUUGGCCCAAACGGCCAACAACAGCAACGACGGAAGUCCUAGCAUCCUUGUACCAUAUAUCCCACUAAGCUGAAACCUGUGACCGCACCAAUCGCUACGGGCCACAGGGGGUAAAAGGCUAACAAGAACAAAGGGGAUUUACAUUGCACAGCAGCACAGGAUAAUUAGCAGCACCCCUUCUAG
Molecule: long non-coding RNA, 4115 nt
Filed under: Triticum aestivum (bread wheat)
Lineage: Eukaryota; Viridiplantae; Streptophyta; Magnoliopsida; Poales; Poaceae
Description: long non-coding RNA (TAES_LNC005166)
Source: RNAcentral